AGAGUUUGAUCAUGGCUCAGAUUGAACGCUGGCGGCAGGCCUAACACAUGCAAGUCGAACGGUAACAGGAAGCAGCUUGCUGCUUUGCUGACGAGUGGCGGACGGGUGAGUAAUGUCUGGGAAACUGCCUGAUGGAGGGGGAUAACUACUGGAAACGGUAGCUAAUACCGCAUAACGUCGCAAGACCAAAGAGGGGGACCUUAGGGCCUCUUGCCAUCGGAUGCCCAGAUGGGAUUAGCUAGUAGGUGGGGUAACGGCUCACCUAGGCGACGAUCCCUAGCUGGUCUGAGAGGAUGACCAGCCACACUGGAACUGAGACACGGUCCAGACUCCUACGGGAGGCAGCAGUGGGGAAUAUUGCACAAUGGGCGCAAGCCUGAUGCAGCCAUGCCGCGUGUAUGAAGAAGGCCUUCGGGUUGUAAAGAUUUUUCAGCGGGGAGGAAGGGAGUAAAGUUAAUACCUUUGCUCAUUGACGUUACCCGCAGAAGAAGCACCGGCUAACUCCGUGCCAGCAGCCGCGGUAAUACGGAGGGUGCAAGCGUUGAUCGGAAUUACUGGGCGUAAAGCGCACGCAGGCGGUUUGUUAAGUCAGAUGUGAAAUCCCCGGGCUCAACCUGGGAACUGCAUCUGAUACUGGCAAGCUUGAGUCUCGUAGAGGGGGGUAGAAUUCCAGGUGUAGCGGUGAAAUGCGUAGAGAUCUGGAGGAAUACCGGUGGCGAAGGCGGCCCCCUGGACGAAGACUGACGCUCAGGUGCGAAAGCGUGGGGAGCAAACAGGAUUAGAUACCCUGGUAGUCCACG
Molecule: ribosomal RNA, 800 nt
Filed under: uncultured bacterium
Lineage: Bacteria
Description: bacterial SSU rRNA
Rfam family: Bacterial small subunit ribosomal RNA
Source: RNAcentral